This 1018-nucleotide ribosomal RNA is filed under the name uncultured bacterium. RNAcentral's name for it is "bacterial SSU rRNA". It matches the Rfam family "Bacterial small subunit ribosomal RNA", at positions 355 to 1375 of the family's 1533-position model. The record is from RNAcentral.
UAGGGAAUUUUCGUCAAUGGGGGGAACCCUGAACGAGCAAUGCCGCGUGAGUGAGGAAGGUCUUCGGAUCGUAAAGCUCUGUUGUAAGAGAAAAACGGCACUCAUAGGGAAUGAUGAGUGAGUGAUGGUAUCUUACCAGAAAGUCACGGCUAACUACGUGCCAGCAGCCGCGGUAAUACGUAGGUGGCGAGCGUUAUCCGGAAUGAUUGGGCGUAAAGGGUGCGUAGGUGGCAGAUCAAGUCUGGAGUAAAAGGUAUGGGCUCAACCCGUACUGGCUCUGGAAACUGAUCAGCUAGAGAACAGAAGAGGACGGCGGAACUCCAUGUGUAGCGGUAAAAUGCGUAGAUAUAUGGAAGAACACCGGUGGCGAAGGCGGCCGUCUGGUCUGGAUUCUGACACUGAAGCACGAAAGCGUGGGGAGCAAAUAGGAUUAGAUACCCUAGUAGUCCACGCCGUAAACGAUGAGAACUAGGUGUUGGGGGAAUAACUCAGUGCCGCAGUUAACGCAGUAAGUUCUCCGCCUGGGGAGUAUGCACGCAAGUGUGAAACUCAAAGGAAUUGACGGGGGCCCGCACAAGCGGUGGAGUAUGUGGUUUAAUUCGAAGCAACGCGAAGAACCUUACCAGGCCUUGACAUCCCUUGCAGAGGUAUAGAGAUAUAUCCGAGGUUAUCAAGGAGACAGGUGGUGCAUGGUUGUCGUCAGCUCGUGUCGUGAGAUGUUGGGUUAAGUCCCGCAACGAGCGCAACCCUUGUGAUAUGUUACUAACAUUGAGUUGAGGACUCAUAUCAGACUGCCGGUGAUAAACCGGAGGAAGGUGGGGAUGACGUCAAAUCAUCAUGCCCCUUAUGGCCUGGGCUACACACGUACUACAAUGGCGUCUACAAAGAGCGGCAAGCCUGUGAAGGCAAGCGAAUCUCAUAAAGGACGUCUCAGUUCGGAUUGAAGUCUGCAACCCGACUUCAUGAAGCUGGAAUCGCUAGUAAUCGCGAAUCAGCAUGUCGCGGUGAAUACGUUCUC